GAAGAGGAGGACUGCAGAGACUCAAAAGAUCUGGUUUGAGGUGAAAUACUUCACUGAUUGAAGAAGUGUGUGACUGGAAGGGAUCCCAGAGCAGAAAGAGGGCCAUUAUGAGACCAAAGCACGGCUGGGCCUUGGUGCACGUGUCCAUCCUGGCUGGACUCCUUCUCACCUGUAACACUGAAGCUACAGAUUCAGAAGAUUCAAACUGCUCUCAGAGGAUUACUGUACGCCGCCACACUGUAUAUAAAGCUACAGUUGGACAAACGCUGACGAUGAAUUGCACAGUUUUCUUCUGUGAUGAUACGCUACCGACAGUAUCCUGGACCAAAAACUCAUUCCUCAUCCCAGUCAGCAAAACCAGUCACAUCAACACUGAAUGGUCUUUGAUUAACAAACAGGAAGGAGUUUUACUUCUGAGCUUUAAAAGAAUUCACCUCAGUGAUUCUGGUCGAUAUAACUGUGUAAUGAAGGGCAGCGUGAGUCACGGCAUUAUUCUCUACGUCUAUGGUGAUAACGAAACUCGUCGUCCAUUGGAGAACAGCACAAGUUUGGAUUCAGGAUCCAAGGUGUAUAUGACAUAUGUCUACUCUGCUGUUGGGACUGCUUCAGUCGUCAUCGUCGUCAUCAUCGUAACAGUCGUAUUGUUGCGAGUGUGUAAAGGACGAUCUUAAAAGGAGGCCAAAACUCAAACUCUGGACCACUCACACCCCUCCUUAGGUGUCCACCUGUGGAACCAGUGCGAGAUCAAGAUGGGUAUUUGGACCUCCUUGAGAUCAGGUUCUCACAGAGGACCCUGUUACACAAAAGACAAGACAAAAGACAAAGACAAGACAAAAAAAAUGCAAAACCCUUUUUUUAAAUGUGAUUUUCUUUGUAACUGUUGUGUGAAUUGUCUCUUAUGUCAUAAUAACCACCUCAUUUAUUUCAGUAGAUUACUCCCACAGGUUCAAGAUGUUACUGAAUGUCCCUUCAAGUGUCAAUGUUCCAAACUACCAUAAAUUGCUAUUAAAUGAACAGAUUAAAACAACUCAAGUGUUCCUUUGCUGUGAAAAUAGUAAAUCAGAGAAACUCAUAAUUCACAUGUUAACCAUGUGUCUAAUUUACCAGGUUAUGUUUGAUAUCAAAUAAGCUGGGAACUCAUGAGUAUUAUCAUGAGUUAUUUUACGUUUUCUCUAUCACCUCUACUCCCAUAGAAGCAUACAAACAAAGCACCCACACAACCAUCUGACACCUCCAAAUUUACAUAAUUUGACCUACAGAACUUUCGAACCAAUGGGAACCAUUGAUUUCAAAUUAUUAAACGAAAAUUAUAUUUCCUUAAGAGUGACAUUAUUUCUAGCUUCAAAGCAAACUCAUCUAAACUGUUCAACAGGCGUCCCCAUUUUGCAAAUAAUUACACUCACAUAGUUUAUAUAUAUAUCCUUUUCAUCCACAUAUACAUAUAUAUUCUUUAGGUCAUUUUAAUUUGUUAUUAUUUAAUUUGUCUCAAUUUUGCUCCUUUAUUUUUUCUGUAUAUACUUUCUUCAUCUUCAUUCAAUAAUAUUCGUUCAGAGUGACCUAAUAAUUCAAGAGACAAUUUUCAUGAUAUCAAUGUGAACCAUUAAUUUGUUUACCUCUCACGUGUUUUAAUUAAAUGAUACCU
Long non-coding RNA from Gouania willdenowi (blunt-snouted clingfish), 1642 nucleotides. Ensembl annotates it as B- and T-lymphocyte attenuator-like. NCBI's taxonomy places the organism in Eukaryota, Metazoa, Chordata, Actinopteri, Blenniiformes, Gobiesocidae. The record is from Ensembl.